Molecule: ribosomal RNA, 481 nt
Filed under: uncultured bacterium
Lineage: Bacteria
Description: bacterial SSU rRNA
Rfam family: Bacterial small subunit ribosomal RNA
Source: RNAcentral
UGGCUAACUCCUACGGGAGGCAGCAGUGGGGAAUUUUGGACAAUGGGGGCAAACCUGAUCCAGCAAUGCCGCGUGAGUGAAGAAGGCCUUCGGGUGGUAAAGCUCUUUGGUAGGGGAAGGAACGGUAGUAGCUAAUAACUAUCACGAAUGACGGUACCUGAAGAAUAAGCACCGGCUAACUACGUGCCAGCAGCCGCGGUAAUACGUAGGGUGCAAGCGUUAAUCGGAAUUACUGGGCGUAAAGCGUGCGCAGGCGGUUGUGUAAGUCAGAUGUGAAAUCCCCGGGCACAACCUGGGAAUUGCAUUUGAGACUGCACGGCUAGAGUGUGUCAGAGGGGGGUAGAAUUCCACGUGUAGCAGUGAAAUGCGUAGAUAUGUGGAGGAAUACCGAUGGCGAAGGCAGCCCCCUGGGAUAACACUGACGCUCAUGCACGAAAGCGUGGGGAGCAAACAGGAUUAGAAACCCCGGUAGUCCAGCUGG